Molecule: ribosomal RNA, 399 nt
Filed under: uncultured bacterium
Lineage: Bacteria
Description: partial 16S ribosomal RNA
Rfam family: Bacterial small subunit ribosomal RNA
Source: RNAcentral
AAUAUUGCACAAUGGGGGGAACUCUGAUGCAGCGACGCCGCGUGAAGGAAGAAGGUUUUCGGAUCGUAAACUUCUAUCAGCAGGGAAGAAAACGACGGUACCUGACUAAGAAGCCCCGGCCAACUACGUGCCAGCAGCCGCGGUAAUACGUAGGGGGCAAGCGUUAUCCGGAAUUACUGGGUGUAAAGGGGGCGUAGGCGGUAAUGAAAGUAAGGUGUGAAAGCCCGAAGCUCAACUUCGGGAUUGCACUUGAAACAUCAUAACUAGAGUACAGGAGAGGUGAGUGGAAUUACUAGUGUAGCGGUGAAAUGCGUAGAUAUAGGAAGGAACAUCAGUGGCGAAGGCGACUACCUGGACUGAUACUGACACUGAGGUGCGAAAGCGUGGGGAGCAAACAGG